GCCAUCUUAGCUCAGCGGUAGAGCAAGGGGAUCGUAGACUCCGAGGUCGCGAAUUCAAUUCUCGCAGGUGGCU
Molecule: transfer RNA, 73 nt
Filed under: Dissoconium aciculare CBS 342.82
Lineage: Eukaryota; Fungi; Ascomycota; Dothideomycetes; Mycosphaerellales; Dissoconiaceae
Rfam family: tRNA
About the family: Transfer RNA (tRNA) molecules are approximately 80 nucleotides in length. Their secondary structure includes four short double-helical elements and three loops (D, anti-codon, and T loops).
Source: Rfam by way of RNAcentral